RNAcentral lists this ribosomal RNA (253 nucleotides) under uncultured bacterium. Its description in RNAcentral is "partial 16S ribosomal RNA". It matches the Rfam family "Bacterial small subunit ribosomal RNA", at positions 524 to 776 of the family's 1533-position model. The record is from RNAcentral.
UACGAAGGGGGCGAGCGUUGUUCGGAUUUACUGGGCGUAAAGGGCGCGUAGGCGGCCCUCCUAGUCGCGUGUGAAAGCCCCGGGCUCAACCUGGGAAUUGCGCGCGAAACGGGGGGGCUUGAGUUCGGGAGAGGAGCGUGGAAUUCCCAGUGUAGAGGUGAAAUUCGUAGAUAUUGGGAAGAACACCGGUGGCGAAGGCGGCGCUCUGGACCGAGACUGACGCUGAGGCGCGAAAGCUAGGGGAGCAAACAGG